AGCAGUUCAGUAAUUUGAGUUCGCUGACUGUAGCUAUAGAGAAGUUCAGUGCUUUUGUUCGAUCAUAGUACACACUGUUCAGUAGCAAUAGCAGUUCGAAAAGCAACAAUCACAGUUCAGUACCAGUAACAGUUCGAAAGUAGCAAUCACUGUUCAGUGAUCACAGUAACAAAUUUAGUUAAAUGUGAUACAAAAGCAGUUAAAUGCACCCAAAAUGCAUUAAUUAUUUAAUUGUGAUUACAAAAACAGAUUCCGCAAACCACAAAAGUGAAGAAACAUUUAAUCAACGCCAGGACUCUGUGUCUUUAUUUCAUGCACAAAAAAUUCGGUUUCGCAUUCAGUUUAACACAUUGAGUGUCAAGGGGUUUUGACGAAACCUUCCCCGGGUGCCAAGCACAUUUUUUGCUAUAAACUGGUGUAAAAGUAGAAAAUAUUCAGUUCUGCGCCAAUCCCGGAUGAUUUUGUGGUUUAUUUUGGAUUUUAUAACGGUUUCUUUUUGUCGCACGUUUCCUUACGACAUGGCACUGCACGAUGGAAUUGCAAUCGUAAAAAUCGAUGUCGUACGAAAAUGUGCGACUAGAUCUCACAUCCCCGCAGCCUGUAUCGCAAUCAAAACAUAUUAUCACAAAAGAGUAGAUGAAAAUAAUAAAACCAUCCGACGUGCUUGUGUUUUAUGCUACGCUGAAGCAAAAAGAAAAUUUAGUCGGAAGGAAGCAAGAAAGAAUAUGAAAAGGACAACUACGUACUGUCCGCAAUGCCCCAACAUUCCCGAAUUGUGCAUUGAUUGCUUCCCAAAAUAUACACAUCUAAAAAAUUAAUGUAAAAAAUCAAUGUAAUUGAAGUUAUCAUAUCCUAAUUUUAAUUUUUCAAUAUCUUUUUUAUACUUUUUUCCGAAAUAUCGAAUGAAUUCCAAUAAAUUUUCAAAAUUAAAAAGAACCUCCGAGUUUUAAUCAUAAAAACCGCAAAAAUGAAGAUAUCUCUAUGAAGCUUGGACCAGAAUUUAGGGCAAACAUUAGGCCCUAAUGACAUUACCUAAGGCCAGACAAUGCUUGUCGCACGAAAACGUGUAGCCAUGGCACUCAAUGUGUUAACAAUGUAAUUUAGACUUUUCCACGGCACCGAAAAUUGCACUUCCGUUCACUUCAACUGUUCAUGGGUGCAAGAAUGAGUUCAAUUAAUAAUAAAGGAAAAACAGCAGAGGAGACCGGCGCUCCGACAAAGCCGGAAGAAACUAGUUGUUCCGGAAAAAUAGCUGCGUUCUCAACGAGCUCUAAAAGACCAGUGGAAAGGCGGUAGCUAAGAUUGGCCUAGAGGCAAUGGCAAGCACUAGCACUCGAGUUGCAGCUAACCCUAACUCCAGUAAAAGGCGGCAGCCCGAGCCAGGCGGUAAUGCGAAAGUUGGAGUUGUAAGUAGUGUUUUCGCCAAAGAAUGACCCAUUCUCACGGUCAAGGAUGUAAAAACAGCAAAGUAUGCGGAGAGACGACGUGAUGCGUACUUAUUAAGAAGGGUAAAUCUGCAACCGCCAUCAAUGGAGGAGCUCCAGAAGUCCAUAGAAUGCGCGAAAGCAAUUCUACCCAAUUUUAAAAUUUAACCGCCAAAAGCAGCGGUGAAGCGACAAAGGUCAGCUGAAGAGACUAAGCCGUCAGCAAAAAAACCGAAAACAAGGGUUGAAUUACGGAUUAAAGCGGAUGCAGAUGCCAUCAAUAACCAAGGUGAGUACUCCUAAGGGUCUGAGACACUCAAAAUUAUAUACUGAGAAAGAGCUUUUAAGCGACUCGCAGGAGAAUGCAGCAGGCCUUCUUAACCGCGUGGCAAGAGAACAGCCUGACUUUGUCCUCAUUCAAGAGCCAUGGGUUAAUGGACGUCGUAUUUGCGGACUGAAGACACCGGACUACUCGUUAUACUGAACUGUGCAGCAAAUUCCCGUUUCUACCGACUACCACGGAUUUCCGAAACCCACUAGAAUUAAAACUAAAUACGUCCCUCAAUAUCGCCUUCUCCACUAGAGAGAUGUUGGACAAGGGCGAGGUAAACAAGGAAAAAGAAAUAAGCAUUUAUACAUACGGAUCUAAACUAGAUAAACGAAUGGGAGGUGGUGUCUUUUCGGAAAAAUUAGAUACCAGAAUCGCCUUCCAACUACCAGACUACUGCAGCGUGUUUCAAGCUGAAAUUGCUGCAAUAAAUGAAAGCCUGCUAUGCAAUGGGUUCCUGGACACAGUGAUAUUCCAGGUAACUGUGUGGCAGAUGAACUAGCCAGAUUAGGCACAACAUUACAAUUGGAUCCGAGUAAGGAGGAUAAAUGCAUACCGUUAGCCACUUGUAAGCACUUAAUUGAUAAGCAGGUCAUAGAUUGGGUUGAAUCCAGGUGGAUAGAAUCUAUGACUUGCUCAACUAGCAGGCAGACGUGGCCUAAUUGGAAUAAAAGCCGUGCGAGCCAGCUACUGAAAUUUAAAAGGAAGGACAUAAGAACUCUAGUGGCAGUGCUAACUGGUCAUUGUCUUAUUGGAAGACAUGCCUACCGACUGGGGUUACCAAACAAUGACUAGAAGCUGCCAGGAAAUAGAAGAAGAAGAGACUGUUGUGCAUCUUCUAUGUGAAUGCAAAGCAUUGUACAGGAAAAGACUCACAACAAUCGGACAUGAUUUUCUAGACAACAUCUUCGUUAAACUUGUUGAGCUACUCAACUUUAUAAAUGCCACAGAGUGGUUCAAAGAGGACAUUGUAGUGUAAGGGGCUUUAGUCCUGGUGGAUUCACAAUUGGCCUCCUAAAAGCCUAGGUGCGUCAUUUGACACCUACUUUACCUACCUACCUACCUAAUAUUAGGGUUAAUUUCUGAAAUUGCUAACACCCGAAACUCAUUUGUAGUUCAUUUUAAAAUAUCUAUUAAAAUACGAUGCGUUAUGCAAGUUCGUUCAUUAUCAUUUUCAGUAAGAUCUUACUGUUCAUUCCGCAGUGGAUAGAAAAUCAUAACCAUUUCGCGGAAAUAUUCCACUCUAGCCACGUCAGGACUAAAUCAUCUGUACCGGAUUAUACACGGUUUGGUACGUCCUUUAACAAAACCGAUACUGCUACGAAUAUUUAAGUCGACUCUGAAGGAAGGUUUUGAAGUUCAGCUUUAGGUUUUACCAUUCGAACCUGCUCUUAAGGACGGGAGGUAUUAAUAAAUAUUUCACAAUAAUUUGGACCAUUUGGUGAAUUAAGCGAUUA
Long non-coding RNA from Zeugodacus cucurbitae (melon fly), 3209 nucleotides. RefSeq lists it as uncharacterized. The record is from RefSeq and is a predicted model, not a curated record. NCBI's taxonomy places the organism in Eukaryota, Metazoa, Arthropoda, Insecta, Diptera, Tephritidae. The transcript is spliced from 3 exons.